CAAAGUUAUCAAAUCUGAAAACACACAUCUAAAGGAGAUAAUGGAAAAUCAGAAGCAUAAAAGUUGCAUGAGUAUCGAUUUAUCUAACAAAAAACAUGGAGAUUUCACAGCUUCUAUUCAAAAACUGGAACAUGAGAAUGCAAGAUUACAAAACAGUCUUGUUAAACUACAGAAUCACACAGAAACACUGAUGCUGAGUGGGGUGGAUAAACAUGGAGAAACAGAGCACAGCUACCAAACCCAUUCAAAGAUGCAAGAAAAGGAAGAGAGAACUUUCCAAAAUGAAGAUGAAAGGCAUAUGAAACUUCAACAGACUGCUAUAUUCACAGCCAGUGAAUACCAUAGAAACUGUAGUCCUACUUCACAUGGCCAAGGUGAUAUCAGUGGUUCCAAAAGUGAUCGCACUUUAUCUUAUCACAAACUUGACAGAGGUCGUGAAAUGGAACUAGAUGAUAAAUCUCC
This 462-nucleotide long non-coding RNA is filed under the name Chrysolophus pictus (golden pheasant). Its description in RNAcentral is "lncRNA (ENSCPIG00010002807.1)". The record is from RNAcentral. Lineage: Eukaryota; Metazoa; Chordata; Aves; Galliformes; Phasianidae.